GUUUCUUCGGAAAUGAGAGAGCGGCGUACGGGUGCGGAACACGUGUGCAACCUGCCUUUAUCUGGGGGAUAGCCUUUCGAAAGGAAGAUUAAUACUCCAUAACAUAUUGGACGGCAUCGUUUAAUAUUGAAAGCUCCGGCGGAUAGAGAUGGGCACGCGCAAGAUUAGCUAGUUGGUGAGGUAACGGCUCACCAAGGCGAUGAUCUUUAGGGGGCCUGAGAGGGUGAUCCCCCACACUGGUACUGAGACGCGGACCAGACUCCUACGGGAGGCAGCAGUGAGGAAUAUUGGUCAAUGGGUGCAAGCCUGAACCAGCCAUCCCGCGUGAAGGACGACUGCCCUAUGGGUUGUAAACUUCUUUUGUAUAGGGAUAAACCUACCCUCGUGAGGGUAGCUGAAGGUACUAUACGAAUAAGCACCGGCUAACUCCGUGCCAGCAGCCGCGGUAAUACGGAGGGUGCAAGCGUUAUUCGGAAUUACUGGGCGUAAAGCGCACGUAGGCCGCUUUGUAAGUCAGGGGUGAAAUCCCACGGCUCAACCGUGGAACUGCCCUUGAAACUGCAGAGCCUUGAAUCCUGGAGAGGGUGGCGGAAUUCCUGGUGUAGGAGUGAAAUCCGUAGAUACUCAGGAGGAACAUCCGGUGGCGAAGGCGGCCACUGGACAGGCAUUGACGCUGAGGUGCGAAAGUGUGGGGAGCAAACA
This 702-nucleotide ribosomal RNA is filed under the name uncultured bacterium. RNAcentral describes it as "bacterial SSU rRNA". It matches the Rfam family "Bacterial small subunit ribosomal RNA", at positions 74 to 774 of the family's 1533-position model. The record is from RNAcentral.